AUAGCCAUGCAUGUCUAGUAUAAGCAAUUUAUACCGUGAAACUGCGAAUGGCUCAUUAAAUCAGUUAUCGUUUAUUUGAUAGUACCUUACUACUUGGAUACCCGUGGUAAUUCUAGAGCUAAUACAUGCUAAAAACCUCGACUUCGGAAGGGGUGUAUUUAUUAGAUAAAAAACCAAUGCCCUUCGGGGCUCCUUGGUGAUUCAUAAUAACUUAACGGAUCGCAUGGCCUUGCGCCGGCGACGGUUCAUUCAAAUUUCUGCCCUAUCAACUUUCGAUGGUAAGGUAUUGGCUUACCAUGGUUGCAACGGGUAACGGGGAAUUAGGGUUCGACUCCGGAGAGGGAGCCUGAGAAACGGCUACCACAUCCAAGGAAGGCAGCAGGCGCGCAAAUUACCCAAUCCCGACACGGGGAGGUAGUGCCAAUAAAUACUGAUACAGGGCUCUUUCGGGUCUCGUAAUUGGAAUGAGUACAAUUUAAAUCCCUUAACGAGGAACAAUUGGAGGGCAAGUCUGGUGCCAGCAGCCGCGGUAAUUCCAGCUCCAAUAGCGUAUAUUAAAGUUGUUGCAGUUAAAAAGCUCGUAGUUGAACCUUGGGCCUGGCUGGCCGGUCCGCCUCACCGCGAGUACUGGUCCGGCCGGGCCUUUCUUUCUGGAGAUCCCCAUGCCCUUCACUGGCUGUGUGGGGAACCAGGACUUUUACUGUGAAAAAAUUAGAGUGUUCAAAGCAGGCCUUUGCUCGAAUACAUUAGCAUGGAAUAAUAGAAUAGGACGUGCGGUUCUAUUUUGUUGGUUUCUAGGACCGCCGUAAUGAUUAAUAGGGAUAGUCGGGGGCAUCAGUAUUCAAUUGUCAGAGGUGAAAUUCUUGGAUUUAUUGAAGACUAACUACUGCGAAAGCAUUUGCCAAGGAUGUUUUCAUUAAUCAGUGAACGAAAGUUAGGGGAUCGAAGACGAUCAGAUACCGUCGUAGUCUUAACCGUAAACUAUGCCGACUAGGGAUCGGGCGA
RNAcentral lists this ribosomal RNA (1005 nucleotides) under Massaria parva. Its description in RNAcentral is "SSU rRNA". It matches the Rfam family "Eukaryotic small subunit ribosomal RNA", at positions 45 to 1060 of the family's 1831-position model. Lineage: Eukaryota; Fungi; Ascomycota; Dothideomycetes; Pleosporales; Massariaceae. The record is from RNAcentral.